UUCCCUGUGGCUCAGUUGGUAGAGCAUGGUGUUUGCAACGCCAGGGUUGUGGGUUCGAUUCCCACGGGGGACC
This is a non-coding RNA of Salmo salar (Atlantic salmon), 73 nucleotides long. The record is from Rfam. Lineage: Eukaryota; Metazoa; Chordata; Actinopteri; Salmoniformes; Salmonidae.